RNAcentral lists this ribosomal RNA (333 nucleotides) under uncultured Gammaproteobacteria bacterium. Its description in RNAcentral is "bacterial SSU rRNA". It matches the Rfam family "Bacterial small subunit ribosomal RNA", at positions 430 to 755 of the family's 1533-position model. Lineage: Bacteria; Pseudomonadati; Pseudomonadota; Gammaproteobacteria. The record is from RNAcentral.
GCACUUUAAGUUGGGAGGAAGGGCAGUUACCUAAUACGUGAUUGUUUUGACGUUACCGACAGAAUAAGCACCGGCUAACUCUGUGCCAGCAGCCGCGGUAAUACAGAGGGUGCAAGCGUUAAUCGGAAUUACUGGGCGUAAAGCGCGCGUAGGUGGUUUGUUAAGUUGGAUGUGAAAUCCCCGGGCUCAACCUGGGAACUGCAUUCAAAACUGACUGACUAGAGUAUGGUAGAGGGUGGUGGAAUUUCCUGUGUAGCGGUGAAAUGCGUAGAUAUAGGAAGGAACACCAGUGGCGAAGGCGACCACCUGGACUGAUACUGACACUGAGGUGCG